Molecule: unclassified non-coding RNA, 364 nt
Filed under: uncultured fungus
Lineage: Eukaryota; Fungi
Description: sequence contains ITS1
Rfam family: 5.8S ribosomal RNA (bases 1-107)
Source: RNAcentral
AAAGUGCGAUAAGCACUGUGAAUUGCAGAAUUCAGCGAAUCAGCAGAUCUCUUAACGCAUAAGGUGCUAGGUAGACUUGUCUGCCUGGCAGGCAUAUUUCAGCAUUGUAACAAUUGCAGUCAUGAUAUACUCAUUCGUCUUCUGUUUUCUCCUGCUUCGGCGGAGUCAAUCGAAGACGAGGAAAGUAUAUCGCUGACCCGCAUUUUUGUCGCUCUCCCGUUCGCGGGCUUGCGGCGUCUGAUCCGCUAAUUUCACAAAUGGCGGAUGGGUACAUGCCUCGCAUUAUUUGAACUUUGUUUAAACAUAAUGACCAGAGGUACAAACCAAUCAAUCUGAAAUAUGUCAGGCUACCCGCUGAACUUAA